AUGAACGCUGGCGGCGUGCCUCAUCCAUGCCAGUCGCGCGAACAGACGAGGAGCUUGCUCCUCUGACGUUAGCGGCGGACGGGUGAGUAACACGUGGAUAACCUACCUAUAAGACUGGGAUAACUUCGGGAAACCGGAGCUAAUACCGGAUAAUAUAUUGAACCGCAUGGUUCAAUAGUGAAAGACGGUUUUGCUGUCACUUAUAGAUGGAUCCGCGCCGCAUUAGCUAGUUGGUAAGGUAACGGCUUACCAAGGCGACGAUGCGUAGCCGACCUGAGAGGGUGAUCGGCCACACUGGAACUGAGACACGGUCCAGACUCCUACGGGAGGCAGCAGUAGGGAAUCUUCCGCAAUGGGCGAAAGCUUGACGGAGCAACGCCGCGUGAGUGAUGAAGGUCUUCGGAUCGUAAAACUCUGUUAUUAGGGAAGAACAAAUGUGUAAGUAACUAUGCACGUCUUGACGGUACCUAAUCAGAAAGCCACGGCUAACUACGUG
RNAcentral lists this ribosomal RNA (496 nucleotides) under uncultured bacterium. Its description in RNAcentral is "partial 16S ribosomal RNA". It matches the Rfam family "Bacterial small subunit ribosomal RNA", at positions 29 to 507 of the family's 1533-position model. The record is from RNAcentral.